Molecule: transfer RNA, 80 nt
Filed under: Alteracholeplasma palmae J233
Lineage: Bacteria; Bacillati; Mycoplasmatota; Mollicutes; Acholeplasmatales; Acholeplasmataceae
Description: Acholeplasma palmae J233 tRNA
Rfam family: tRNA
About the family: Transfer RNA (tRNA) molecules are approximately 80 nucleotides in length. Their secondary structure includes four short double-helical elements and three loops (D, anti-codon, and T loops).
Source: Rfam by way of RNAcentral
GCCGACGUGGCGAAAUUGGUAUACGCACCAGACUCAAAAUCUGGCGGGAAACCUUGUCGGUUCGAGUCCGACCGUCGGUA